UGAGCAAUGAGUCUUGCUUCUCUUUCACUUCCUGGGGCUUCUCUCAGCUCCACAUGGGGCAAAGGGCAGGGAGAACCCUGCUCAGUUCUGUCUAGCCCGACUGGGACGUGGAAAGGCUAAUCCGAGCCCCACUUCUGCCACUCAGUUGCUGGGCCUCAGUUUCCCUGGCUGUACGGAGAAGGAGAAAACAAGAUGGAACCCAGUGACUGGCCACCAUGGACACAUGCAAGGGAGAAGGAGAAGUCCCCAGUAGGAAAAUGAAAGGCAUGCAGCAAGAAGCUCAAAAUCUACAAGCCAAGAAGAGAGCCCUCACCAGAAACGGAAACAGCUGGCACCUUGAUCUUGGACUUCCCAGG
This 356-nucleotide long non-coding RNA is filed under the name Pan troglodytes (chimpanzee). RNAcentral's name for it is "long non-coding RNA NONPTRT017468". The record is from RNAcentral. Lineage: Eukaryota; Metazoa; Chordata; Mammalia; Primates; Hominidae.